This 320-nucleotide unclassified non-coding RNA is filed under the name plant metagenome. Its description in RNAcentral is "partial contains 5.8S ribosomal RNA, internal transcribed spacer 2, and large subunit ribosomal RNA". The stretch from base 1 to 105 matches the Rfam family "5.8S ribosomal RNA", at positions 50 to 154 of the family's 154-position model. The record is from RNAcentral.
GAAAUGCGAUAAGUAAUGUGAAUUGCAGAAUUCAGUGAAUCAUCGAAUCUUUGAACGCACAUUGCGCCCGCCAGUAUUCAGGCGGGCAUGCCUGUUCGAGCGUCAUUACAACCCUCAGGCCCCCGGGCCUGGCGUUGGGGAUCGGCGGAAGCCCCCUGCGGGCACAACGCCGUCCCCCAAAUACAGUGGCGGUCCCGCCGCAGCUUCCAUUGCGUAGUAGCUAACACCUCGCAACUGGAGAGCGGCGCGGCCACGCCGUAAAACACCCAACUUCUGAAUGUUGACCUCGAAUCAGGUAGGAAUACCCGCUGAACUUAAGC